This 432-nucleotide ribosomal RNA is filed under the name uncultured bacterium. RNAcentral's name for it is "partial 16S ribosomal RNA". It matches the Rfam family "Bacterial small subunit ribosomal RNA", at positions 29 to 506 of the family's 1533-position model. The record is from RNAcentral.
AGCGAACGCUGGCGGCAUGCCUAACACAUGCAAGUCGAACGAGACCUUCGGGUCUAGUGGCGCACGGGUGCGUAACGCGUGGGAACCUGCCCUUAGGUUCGGAAUAACUCCCCGAAAGGGGUGCUAAUACCGGAUAAUGUCUUCGGACCAAAGAUUUAUCGCCUCUGGAUGGGCCCGCGUUGGAUUAGCUAGUUGGUAGGGUAAAAGCCUACCAAGGCGACGAUCCAUAGCUGGUCUGAGAGGAUGAUCAGCCACACUGGGACUGAGACACGGCCCAGACUCCUACGGGAGGCAGCAGUGGGGAAUAUUGGACAAUGGGCGAAAGCCUGAUCCAGCAAUGCCGCGUGAGUGAUGAAGGCCUUAGGGUUGUAAAGCUCUUUUACCCGGGAUGAUAAUGACAGUACCGGGAGAAUAAGCUCCGGCUAACUCCGU